CGCUGGCGGCGUGCCCAACACAUGCACGUCAACUUGACGGAAGGAGCAAUCUGACCGUAGAGUGGCGCAAGGGUGCGUAACGCGUAAGUAACUUGCCCAAGGUAAGGAAUAACGUCGAGAAAUCGGCGCUAAUACCUCAUAAUGCAGCGGAUCCGCAUGGAUAUGUUGUUAAAGGUUUACCGCCUUGGGAUAGGCUUGCGUCUGAUUAGCUAGUUGGUGUGGUAACGGCACACCAAGGCUACGAUCAGUAACUGGUCUGAGAGGAUGAUCAGUCACACUGGAACUGAGACACGGUCCAGACUCCUACGGGAGGCAGCAGUGAGGAAUAUUGGGCAAUGCUCGAAAGAGUGACCCAGCAACGCCGCGUGGAGGAUGAAGGUAUUCUAUAUCGUAAACUCCUGUGAGAGCAGACGAAAGACAGAUUAUUAAUCUGGAUGACUGUAUGCUCAGAGGAAGCCCCGGCUAACUACGUG
RNAcentral lists this ribosomal RNA (473 nucleotides) under uncultured bacterium. Its description in RNAcentral is "bacterial SSU rRNA". It matches the Rfam family "Bacterial small subunit ribosomal RNA", at positions 34 to 507 of the family's 1533-position model. The record is from RNAcentral.